This 529-nucleotide ribosomal RNA is filed under the name uncultured bacterium. Its description in RNAcentral is "bacterial SSU rRNA". It matches the Rfam family "Bacterial small subunit ribosomal RNA", at positions 980 to 1509 of the family's 1533-position model. The record is from RNAcentral.
CUUGACAUCCUCUGACAAUCCUAGAGAUAGGACUUUCCCCUCGGGGGACAGAGUGACAGGUGGUGCAUGGUUGUCGUCAGCUCGUGUCGUGAGAUGUUGGGUUAAGUCCCGCAACGAGCGCAACCCUUAUUCUUAGUUGCCAGCAUUAGGUUGGGCACUCUAAGGAGACUGCCGGUGACAAACCGGAGGAAGGUGGGGAUGACGUCAAAUCAUCAUGCCCCUUAUGACCUGGGCUACACACGUGCUACAAUGGAUGGUACAAAGGGCUGCGAAACCGCGAGGUUAAGCCAAUCCCAUAAAACCAUUCUCAGUUCGGAUUGCAGGCUGCAACUCGCCUGCAUGAAGCCGGAAUCGCUAGUAAUCGCGGAUCAGCAUGCCGCGGUGAAUACGUUCCCGGGUCUUGUACACACCGCCCGUCACACCACGAGAGUUUGUAACACCCGAAGUCGGUGGGGUAACCGCAAGGAGCCAGCCGCCUAAGGUGGGACAGAUGAUUGGGGUGAAGUCGUAACAAGGUAAGCGUAGAUGA